GAGACAGCAGCAGCCGCGGGAAUACGGAGGGUGCAAGCGUUAAUCGGAAUUACUGGGCGUAAAGCGCACGCAGGCGGUUUGUUAAGUCUGCUGUGAAAUCCCCGGGCUCAACCUGGGAAUGGCAGUGGAUACUGGCUCGCUAGAGUGUGUCAGAGGAUGGUGGAAUUCCCGGUGUAGCGGUGAAAUGCGUAGAGAUCGGGAGGAACAUCGGUGGCGAAGGCGGCCAUCUGGGACAACACUGACGCUGAGGCACGAAAGCGUGGGGAGCAAACAGGAUUAGAUACCCGCGUAGUCCCUGUCUCUUAUAC
Molecule: ribosomal RNA, 308 nt
Filed under: uncultured bacterium
Lineage: Bacteria
Description: partial 16S ribosomal RNA
Rfam family: Bacterial small subunit ribosomal RNA
Source: RNAcentral